This 563-nucleotide ribosomal RNA is filed under the name Tatia intermedia. RNAcentral describes it as "partial 16S ribosomal RNA". It matches the Rfam family "Bacterial large subunit ribosomal RNA", at positions 1818 to 2597 of the family's 2925-position model. The record is from RNAcentral. Lineage: Eukaryota; Metazoa; Chordata; Actinopteri; Siluriformes; Auchenipteridae.
GCCUCCUGCAAAAUCCGAAGUAUAGGAGGUCUUGCCUGCCCAGUGAUAAAUUAAACGGCCGCGGUAUUUUGACCGUGCGAAGGUAGCGCAAUCACUUGUCUUUUAAAUGAAGACCUGUAUGAAUGGCGGAACGAGGGCUUAACUGUCUCCCUUCUCCAGUCAAUGAAAUUGAUCUGCCCGUGCAGAAGCGGACAUAUAUAUACAAGACGAGAAGACCCUUUGGAGCUUAAGAUAAAAGAUCAACCCCGUCAAGAGUAAUCAAAACUAAACUAAAUGGUAUCUGAUCCUUAUCUUCGGUUGGGGCGACCACGGGAGAAAACAAAGCUCCCACGCGGACCGGGGCUAAAGCCCUAAAACCAAGAAAGACAUUUCUAAGUAGCAGAAUAUCUGACCCAUCAGAUCCGGCAAAUGCCGAUCAACGGACCAAGUUACCCUAGGGAUAACAGCGCAAUCCCCUUUCAGAGUCCAUAUCGACAAGGGGGUUUACGACCUCGAUGUUGGAUCAGGACAUCCUAAUGGUGCAGCCGCUAUUAAGGGUUCGUUUGUUCAACGAUUAAAGUCCU